GACGAACGCUGGCGGCGCGCUUAACACAUGCAAGUCGAGCGAGAACCAGCCCUUCGGGGCUGGGGAAAGCGGCGAACGGGUGAGUAACACGUGGGUAAUCUGCCCUCGGCACCGGAAUAGCCCGGGGAAACCCGGAUUAAUGCCGGAUGGCCUCUCGAGCUCUCGAGCUCGUGAGAAAAGGUAGCUUCGGCCUCCGGCCGAGGAUGAGCCCGCGGUCGAUUAGCUUGUUGGUGAGGUAAUGGCUCACCAAGGCGACGAUCGAUAGCUGGUCUGAGAGGACGAUCAGCCACACUGGGACUGAGACACGGCCCAGACUCCUACGGGAGGCAGCAGUGGGGAAUCUUGCGCAAUGGGCGAAAGCCUGACGCAGCGACGCCGUGUGCGGGAAGAAGGCCU
This 396-nucleotide ribosomal RNA is filed under the name uncultured bacterium. RNAcentral describes it as "bacterial SSU rRNA". It matches the Rfam family "Bacterial small subunit ribosomal RNA", at positions 28 to 417 of the family's 1533-position model. The record is from RNAcentral.